CCUACGGGUGGCAGCAGUGGGGAAUAUUGGGCAAUGGACGCAAGUCUGACCCAGCAACGCCGCGUGAAGGAAGAAGGCUUUCGGGUUGUAAACUUCUUUUAACGGGGAAGAGAAGAACACUGUACGCGUUGAAUAAGCCACGGCUCACUACGUGCCAGCAGCCGCGGUAAUACGUGGGUGGCAAGCGUUGCCCGGAUUUACUGGGUGUAAAGGGCGUGCAGCCGGAGAGACAAGUCAGAUGUGAAAUCCACGGGCGCAACCCGUGAACUGCAUUUGAAACUGUUUCCCUUGAGUGUCGGAGAGGUAAGCGGAAUUCCUUGUGUAGCGGUGAAAUGCGUAGAUAUAAGGAAGAACACCAGUGGCGAAGGCGGAUUACUGGACGAUAACUGACGGUGAGGCGCGAAAGCGUGGGGAGCAAACAGGAUUAGAUACCCGGGUAGUC
Molecule: ribosomal RNA, 442 nt
Filed under: uncultured bacterium
Lineage: Bacteria
Description: partial 16S ribosomal RNA
Rfam family: Bacterial small subunit ribosomal RNA
Source: RNAcentral